CUACACUUGACAUGCCUCUUGGGACUUUCAGAGAUGAUUGUCUUCGGUUCGGCCGGGGAGUGCACAGGUGCUGCAUGGCUGUCGUCAGCUCGUGUCGUGAGAUGUUGGGUUAAGUCCCGCAACGAGCGCAACCCUUAUCGUAUGUUACCAGCAUUUAGUUGGGGACUCAUGCGAGACUGCCGGUGAUAAGCCGGAGGAAGGCGGGGACGACGUCAAGUCAUCAUGGCCCUUACGUGUAGGGCUAGAAACGUGCUACAAUGGUGGUGACAAUGGGCAGCGAGGUCGUGAGGCCAAGCUAAUCCCUAAAAGCCAUCUCAGUUCGGAUUGUAGUCUGCAACUCGACUACAUGAAGUUGGAAUCGCUAGUAAUCGGAAUCAGCAUUGCUGCGGUGAAUACGUUCCC
RNAcentral lists this ribosomal RNA (402 nucleotides) under uncultured bacterium. RNAcentral's name for it is "bacterial SSU rRNA". It matches the Rfam family "Bacterial small subunit ribosomal RNA", at positions 975 to 1375 of the family's 1533-position model. The record is from RNAcentral.